CUCACCCCCUGUUCAUGCCAGCAGACAGAAAAGGAGCAUGAGGAGGGAGAAACAGAGCCACAUGUACAAGUUCCUCCUCCUUGGGAUCCCCAUCCAGCCAGAGCAGCAGGGCGUAUCCUUUGCCCUGUUGCUGGGCAUGUACCUGACCAUGGUACUGGGCAGCCUGCUAUUCUUCCUGCUCAUCAGGCUGGAUCCUCACCUCCAGACCACCAUGUACUUCUUCCUCAGCCAUCUGGCUUCCUCUGACAUCACCGUCUCACCUGUCACUGUUCCAGAAAUGCUUAUGAACAUGUAGACUGAGGAUCAAUGCAUCCCCUUUGAAGGAUGCAUAGCACAGAUGUAUUUCUUCAUAUUUAUUUCUUUUCUGGACAAUUUCCUUCUCACCUCAAUGGCCUAUGGCAGGUACAUGGUGAACUGCCACCCUCUCCAGUACACCACUAUCAUGAGAGAGGGACUGCGUACCUUACUGGUAACUGUAUCUUGGAUUCUCUCCAGUGCCAAAGCUCUGUGUCACACACUCCUCCUGACACAGCUCAUGAAGAGGGAGAACCAGAGCACCGUGUCUGAGUUCCUUCUCAUGGGGCUUCCCAUCUGGCCAGAGCACCAGGGAAUUUUCUUUACCCUGUUUCUGGGCAUGUACCUGACCACAGUGCUGGGGAACUUGCUCAUCAUCCUGCUCAUCAGGCUGGACCCUCAUCUCCACACCCCCAUGUACUUCUUCCUCAGUCACCUGGCCUACUCUGACCUUUCAUUUUCCUCUGUCACUGUCCCAAAGAUGCUAAUGAACAUGCAGACUCAAGUUCAAUCCAUCUCCUAUGCAGGGUGCAUAGCACAGAUGUAUUUUUUCAUAUUUUUUACUGUUCUGGAUGAUUUUCUUCUUGCCUCAAUGGCCUAUGACAGGUACGUGGCCAUCUGCCACCCUCUCCACUACACCACCAUCAUGAGAGAGGGACUGUGUACCUUACUAGUAAUUGUGUCUUGGAUUCUUUCCAGUGCUGAUGCCCUGUGUUACACCCUCCUCCUGACACAGCUGUCCUUUUGUGCUGACAACACCAUCCCCCAUUUCUUCUGUGACCCUGGUACCUUGCUGAAACUCUCCUGCUCAGACACAUCCCUCAAUGAGCUGGUCAUUUUCACAGUAGGACUGGCAGUCAUCACCCUCCCACUCAUAUGCAUCUUGAUCUCUUAUGGCCGCAUCGGGGCCACAAUCCUCAGGGUUCCAUCUACCAAGGGCAUCUGCAAAGCCUUGUCCACAUGUGGCUCCCACCUGUCUGUGGUUUCUCUCUAUUAUGGAACAAUCAUUGGGCUAUAUUUUUUCCCCUCAUCUAGUACCUCCAGUGACAAGAACAUAAUUUCCUCUGUGAUGUACACAGUGGUCACCCCAUUGCUGAACCCCUUCAUUUACAGCCUGAGGAACAGGGAUAUGAAGGGGGCCCUGGAGAAACUCUUCCACAAGGCAGCAGUCUUGUCUCAGUGA
Phacochoerus africanus (Common warthog) is the source of this 1477-nucleotide RNA transcript. It is a transcript of the gene named olfactory receptor 1J4-like, with no coding region annotated. The transcript has 2 exons. The record is from RefSeq and is a predicted model, not a curated record. Lineage: Eukaryota; Metazoa; Chordata; Mammalia; Artiodactyla; Suidae.